ACGGCGUGCUUUUUGUAGAACGAUCCAGCGAGUUAAUUUCGUGCGCAAGGUUAAGUUAGUUAACGGAGCCACAGUGAAAGCGAGCCUGAAUAGGGCGUUUAGUGUACGGAAUUAGACCCGAAACCGGGUGACCUAACCAUGAGCAGGUUGAAGCUACUGUAACAGGUAGUGAAGGACCGAACCAGGAUACGCAGCAAAGUGUUUGGAUGACUUGUGGUUAGCGGUGAAAUGCCAAUCGAACUCGGAGAUAGCUGGUUCUCCUCGAAAUAGCUUUAGGGCUAGCGUCAUGUUAGUAAUGUAUGGGGGUAGAGCUCUGUAAAGGAUUGGGGCGGGCAACUGUACCCACCCUUAACAAACUACGAAUACCAUAUAUGUAAUCAUGGCAGUUAGAACAUCGGUGCUAAGAUCGGUGCUCAAAAGGGAAACAGCCCAGACCAUCAUCUAAGGUCCCUAAAUAUACAUUAAGUGGGAAACAAGGUGAAAUUUCUUAAACAGCGAGGAUGUUGGCUUAGAAGCAGCCAUUCAUUUAAAGAGUGCGUAACAGCUCACUCGUCAAGAGAUUUUGCGUGGAAAAUGUAACGGGGCUAAAUGUAUUACCGAAGAUAUGGAUUAUUACAUUAGUAAUAGUGGUAGAGGAGCGUUCCUAUCAGCAGUGAAGCAGUAUUGAAAAGUAUUGUGGAGCGGUAGGAAGUGAGAAUGCUGGAAUGAGUAACCAUAAGAUAGGUGAGAAUCCUGUCGGCCGUAAGAGCAAGGUUUCCUGAGCUAUGGUAAUCAUCUCAGGGUUAGUCGGGCCUAAGCCGAGGCGCAGAGCAUAGGCGAUGGACAUCAGGUUAAUAUUCCUGAACCGGUUAAGUUUUGUACACUGUUCACGGGGAAGUAAUCGAAGCGGAUUCAUGGUUUAUCCGUCCAACCGAGCGGGAACGCAAAGGGAGUGAAAGUGAUUCUUCGGAGUCGCGAUUUUGGUGAAAGCCCUGGCUAGAAAAGCAGGUGUACGCGUGGACUUAGCCGCCCGUACCGCAAACCAACACAGGUGCUCGAGUCGAGUAGACUCAGGCUUACGAGUGAACCUUCGCUAAGGAACUCGGCAAUACAGCGACCGUAACUUCGGGAUAAGGUCUGCCCCCACUUCGGUGGAUAUUAGCCGCGUUCACUCAGUGAAUAAUAGGUUAAAGAGUACAUUUUUAAUCACAAAACGAAUUUUCUGAGACACGAGCAAACAAAUUGCUCUUUGAACGCGAACCUCUUGUAUCUAACGAUGUGGGGGCCGCAGCAAAAGAGCCCACGGAACUGUUUAUCAAAAACACAGGUCUCUGCUAACACGAAAGUGGAUGUAUAGGGGCUGACUCCUGCCCGGUGCCGGAAGGUUAAGGGGAGUGCUUCACGGUGCAAACUGAAGCCCCGGUGAACGGCGGCGGUAACUAUAACCGUCCUAAGGUAGCGAAAUUCCUUGUCAGGUAAGUUCUGACCCGCACGAAUGGAGUAAUCAUGUGGGCACUGUCUCAGCGAAGGACUCGGUGAAAGUGCAUUGGCGGUAAAGAUGCCGUCUGUCCGUACCAGGACGAAAAGACCCCAUGGAGCUUUACUACAGCUUUACAUUGAAUACGGUUUCAACAUGUGUAGCAUAGGUGGGAGAUAUUGAAGCAGAUACGCCAGUAUUUGUGGAGUCACCAAGUGAAAUACCACCCUUGUUGUGAUUGUGUUCUCACGCUGACCGUUAUCCGGUUAGCGGACCGUGUAUGGUGGGUAGUUUAACUGGGGCGGUUGCCUCCUAAAGAGUAGCGG
Molecule: ribosomal RNA, 1782 nt
Filed under: human oral metagenome
Description: bacterial LSU rRNA
Rfam family: Bacterial large subunit ribosomal RNA
Source: RNAcentral